This 494-nucleotide ribosomal RNA is filed under the name uncultured bacterium. Its description in RNAcentral is "partial 16S ribosomal RNA". It matches the Rfam family "Bacterial small subunit ribosomal RNA", at positions 28 to 507 of the family's 1533-position model. The record is from RNAcentral.
GACGAACGCUGGCGGCGUGCUUAACACAUGCAAGUCGAACGGAAAGGCCUGCUUUCCCUUGUGGAUUGCGGGUACUCGAGUGGCGAACGGGUGAGUAACACGUGAGUGAUCUGCACCCAACUUGGGUAUAAGCCUGGGAAACUGGGUCUAAUUCCCGAUAGGACUGCAGGGUGGUGCCGGGGGUGGAAGACGAUUUGUUAGUGGUAGGGGAUGAGCUCGCGGCCUAUCAGCUUGUUGGUGGGGUAAUGGCCUACCAAGGCGGCGACGGGUAGCCGGCCUGAGAGGGUGGACGCCCGCACUGGGACUCGGAUACGGCUCCUACUCCUGCGGGAAGCAGCAGUUGUGACGCUUGGACCAUGGGCGGAACCCUGCUGCAGCGCCUCCGCGUGGGGGAUGUCGGCCUUCGGGUUGUCAGCUCCUUUCGACCGCGAGGAAGCCACCUGGUUGGAAGGGUGGUGACGGUAGUGGUAGAAGAAGCACCGGCUAACUACGUG